Non-coding RNA from Mycena metata, 76 nucleotides. The record is from the annotation of a GenBank genome assembly. Lineage: Eukaryota; Fungi; Basidiomycota; Agaricomycetes; Agaricales; Mycenaceae.
GUCCCUGUGGCACAACCGGUCGUGCGUCUAACCAUGACUUUCGUAGAGUAACUGAGUUCGAUCCCCAGCAGGGGCA